GGUGGUUCUCAGGUGAUGCACCCCAGAAUAGGGCUCUCUCCUCUCUGGUUCUGGGGUGCAUCACCCAAGAACUGCC
Molecule: non-coding RNA, 76 nt
Organism: Myotis lucifugus (little brown bat)
Lineage: Eukaryota; Metazoa; Chordata; Mammalia; Chiroptera; Vespertilionidae
Source: Rfam